RNAcentral lists this ribosomal RNA (460 nucleotides) under uncultured bacterium. RNAcentral's name for it is "partial 16S ribosomal RNA". It matches the Rfam family "Bacterial small subunit ribosomal RNA", at positions 338 to 795 of the family's 1533-position model. The record is from RNAcentral.
CCUACGGGAGGCAGCAGUGAGGAAUAUUGGUCAAUGGACGAGAGUCUGAACCAGCCAAGUAGCGUGAAGGAUGACUGCCCUAUGGGUUGUAAACUUCUUUUAUAUGGGAGUCAAAUGUUCCACGUGUGGGAUUUUGUAUGUACCAUAUGAAUCAGUAUCGGCUAACUCCGUGCCAGCAGCCGCGGUAAUACGGAGGAUCCGAGCGUUAUCCGGAUUUAUUGGGUUUAAAGGGAGCGUAGGUGGAUUGUUAAGUCAGUUGUGAAAGUUUGCGGCUCAACCGUAAAAUUGCAGUUGAAACUGGCAGUCUUGAGUACAGUAGAGGUGGGCGGAAUUCGUGGUGUAGCGGUGAAAUGCUUAGAGAUCACGAAGAACUCUGAUUGCGAAGGCAGUUCACUGGACUGCAACUGACACUGAGGCUCGAAAGUGUGGGUAUCAAACAGGAUUAGAUACCCUAGUAGUC